This 308-nucleotide unclassified non-coding RNA is filed under the name Hevea brasiliensis (rubber tree). Lineage: Eukaryota; Viridiplantae; Streptophyta; Magnoliopsida; Malpighiales; Euphorbiaceae. The record is from RNAcentral.
UCUGUGGCCGCCGGCUCGAGACCUGGGCUUUCCGGAUUUGAUGACCCGGGUUUCCCAAUCAGGAUCGGCGAGAAUUCGGCGGGGGGAGGAAUCAGAGGUGGAAGAAGAAGAAUGAGGGGAGUGAAGGAAGAAGAGGAGGAUAAGGCCAAGGAAAAUGCAGGUCCAGAAGACAAAUUUGGUGAUGGAAAAAUGGUAACGAAAGCGAUUCAUGUAAAUGGGUUUGUCCAUUGUUGGAGUUGCGUUGAGAGUAAAUGUUGCUGUAGAGUUUGAUCGGUGUGGGUUUUGGGAUUUGAGGGAAGAGUUUGAUG